This 881-nucleotide long non-coding RNA is filed under the name Homo sapiens (human). Its description in RNAcentral is "long intergenic non-protein coding RNA 2532". The record is from RNAcentral. Lineage: Eukaryota; Metazoa; Chordata; Mammalia; Primates; Hominidae.
GUACAAUAGAGCUUAUAGGCUAAUGAGAAGACAGGAAGAAACAACAGGAACACAUAUAGCUGGAAUGCAGAUGGGAUCUGUGCUACUUACGCUAGCCAUGGGAUGAUUAGAACAAGAUAAGAGACAUGAGGAAGACUUCUUCAAGGAGGUGCUCAAGCCAUGUUUUGGAAAAGAGAACUCAAGACUGCCUGGCAGCUCUUUAGAAAGUUGUGUGACGUAUGAACCAGUUCUUCCCUAUAUGAGAGUGUACCGUACAUCGCAGGCUGUCCAGCAUCGACCCCACUGAUGGAUGCUAGUAGUCCUCCCCGCCAGCACUCAACAUUGUGACAGUCAAAAACAUCCUCUCUACAUUUUCAAUGCCCCUGUUGGGGUAGCAGGACUCCCACUGAGAGACCCCAGUAGAGAUGGUCCCCAAGCAUGCUAACCAUGAAGCAGUGAUAUCGCACAGCACCUGCUUCCAGCAGCCCGGAGCCAAGGGGCAAAAUGGAAAGAGUCAGCAUUUCUCUUUUAGGUUCUCUGCCUCUCUAGUGUGGCAAGUAGAGCUGCAGCUGUCUGGCGCCACUGUAAUGCUGUCUCCUCCUCUGAGUGAGUUCAUCCUGGAAACAUUUUCUCCCAUAAGACAUGCACAGGUCUUACGUUUACAUGUUUCACUGAAAGAAAUUUGAUUCCACUGCUGGGAUGACAAGGAAGACUGAAGAAACCUAAUCCUAGGUGCUGCCACUGGGACAAACAAGAAGCACCAGACACAGUGCUGUUUUAGGGUGGGGCAGAAUUAUGCUGAGGGAAAAGUUAUUAUCACUCUUUAAGGCCAAGGAAACCACAAUUUUUAAAGAAGCUUCUAGAAAUUCUACCCAGUAGAAAAUAAAGAUAAACUUCUGUAA